UACGAAGGGUGCAAGCGUUGUUCGGAUUUAUUGGGCGUAAGCGCACGUAGGCGGACUCUUAAGUCGGUGGUGAAAUCCUGGAGCUCAACUCCAGAACUGCCUUCGAUACUGAGAGUCUCGAGUCCGAGAGAGGUGAGUGGAACUGCGAGUGUAGAGGUGAAAUUCGUAGAUAUUCGCAAGAACACCAGUGGCGAAGGCGGCUCACUGGCUCGGUACUGACGCUGAGGUGCGAAAGCGUGGGGAGCAAACAGG
RNAcentral lists this ribosomal RNA (252 nucleotides) under uncultured bacterium. Its description in RNAcentral is "partial 16S ribosomal RNA". It matches the Rfam family "Bacterial small subunit ribosomal RNA", at positions 524 to 776 of the family's 1533-position model. The record is from RNAcentral.